CAGUGCGGGAUCCGUCGUGCCCAGCAGGGACUCGGACCUGCAGGGUGGGUCCUGCCGGACGUGGCGCACCAAGCCAGGCCGGGUACCUGUCCCCGGCGGUGCUCACGGCGCUGCGCGGCCGCCGCCGUCUGUCUGGGAUCAGAGGAGCCAGGCCAACUGCUUCUCAUUAAGUCCCAACUGUGGUUUUUAUCAGGAGAGCCUCUUUCAAAGGGCACAGACACGAAGCUCCGCGGACUCGCUCAUUUCCUCCGCUGACCCCCACACACCUCCCAGCCCUCCUCCCCUACACAUUCCCACCGCCCCGACUGGGCGAAGGCCCGAGCUGCCUGGCCUCUCCGAGGAGGCCCGCGAGGCGCCAGCGGGGCGGAGGCGGGUUGCAGCCGAUCUCGGAGGAUCCAGCUCUGGGCCUAAGCUGCGGGAUGCGGCAGCAAAGAUGAGGCGGGCGCGGGCACCGACAUUUCCACAGGUCAGCCGGUGCAGCGGGCGGCGGCGGGGUUGCGAACCCGCCCGCCAGGCCCCGGAGUUCAGGCGCGUUCUUGGGAGACUGCGCGGUCCAACUGGCCUUAGUGAAUAGGGCACUGGCCCAGGAGCCGGAGGCACCCAGGGGUUAGGCCCGCUCCCGACGGCCCCGCGGUGACGAUCCAGUGCGAGGAAGCCAAGACUGCGAGAAGGGCGGCCAUCGCCGUGCAUAACGACGGGGAGCCCAGCAUGAAGUUGGCAGCUGCACUUUCUUGGAAUAAUAUUCAUAACAAUGACUAGCACUUACCGAGCGAUGACUACAUGGCAAACACUUUGAUGGGCUUCGCAUGUAUUAACUCGGUUAACCCUCACAAGGACGCUUUAAAGCCUCGCGGAGCGCGCCCUGUGUGCUCAGGAAGUGCUGGACGGGGGGCUGCCGUGGGGUGAAGGAGGCAUGGGGUGCCGGAACCAGGAUUUCAGGCUUUCCACUCCCGGACUCCACUUUCUCUGCCAAAGUUUUCCCGUGAACCAUUUCCAGACUAUAAGGAGAGGGGAAGAAGGAUGCUGUUCUCAGCAGGGAGGCCUGCAGAGAUUGUCGUCUCUCUAGGGAAGAAGGAGAGGCUGCAGGCAGGUUCGUAGCCUUCCACAGCCUGCCGUACUGGACACUGCAUCCUCCUGCAUGGCUCGGCCUGUCUAAAUUUUGUCUUCAUUCAGCAAACAUGCAGGCGAGGCCUUCUGUGUACCAGGCUCUGUGUGCUGGAGGCAGGGGGUACGAAGACAGAUGAAGCCUCUUCCUGCCCCUGCGAGUCACUGAGGGAGACACAGACACAUAUGGGUGCAUCAAUACGGGGAGCAUUCAAGGCCGGUAAUUGUUGCACAGAGAGAAGUGGGAUUACUUCCACCCAGGACUGGGGAAAGCAGGGAAGUCUUCAUGGAGGAGACUCACCCAGUAGGCGGGCGUGGACGAGGACCCAGAACCCACUGCCUUUGAUGAUGUCCCAUCCUCCACCCCACCUGCACACUCGUGCAACACUAAUUCAUAGGCACAGCUCUCCAGCCCGGUGCUCGAGAAUGAUAGGAAAUGGCCUCAUGCGCAGCCUGGCUGAAAGGAGAAGAGUGUCGGGGUGCUCAGACCGCAGGACAUUGUCCAAGUGGCCCUGUCGCUGACAUCACCAGGCAGAGGGGUUUAAGGAGGAUGCAUUUUCAUCCUACGCAAAACUCACUCUCCGGUGAGGAUGUGAAUGAAACAGGUCAACAGAGGCUCAAGUCCCAACUCUGUCACUUAGCAGCUGUGUGUGAGGCUGGGUAAGUCACCAGUAAAAUAAAAUAAUUCAGUUCCCUUCAGAGAGCUGUCAGGAGGAUCAUGUGAGACAAUGGAAUUGAAAUGUGCUUUGUAAACUGUGACUGUAUGUUGACGAGAAGUGUGACUACUGCGUCUUUAUGCAGAUUUAAGCCCAUGGGGUAUGUGAUGCCUUCCUGGUAGCCUGGCUUGGCUAGAAUUCCCAUGUGCUAGUCUCUCAUGGAGUUGGAGAACAGAAAGGAAGCAGCAGCUAUUUUGUAGCAUACACUCGCCAUCUCCCAGUUAUUCAAUCAAACACUAACCCAGGUGCUGCUGCAAAGGGAUUUUGCACAGGUGAUUAAAGUCCCUAAUCAGCUGACUUUAAAUUAUGGAGAUUAUCCCAGCGGGGUAAUCUCUGGCUCACUCUGUUGGAAGCCCUUUCAGAGAAGGCGUGGGUCUUCCCUGAGAGGGACUCAGGCCUGUGGCCAACAGCUUCAGCUGGUGCCUGUGGGUUUCAGCCUGCCCAUGGUCAUCCCUUCCUGCCUGCUUGCCUGCCCCACAGACCUCGGACCCGCUUAGCCAGCCCCACACUCAUGUAAGCCAAUUCCAUGUA
Long non-coding RNA from Lagenorhynchus albirostris (white-beaked dolphin), 2351 nucleotides. RefSeq lists it as uncharacterized. Lineage: Eukaryota; Metazoa; Chordata; Mammalia; Artiodactyla; Delphinidae. The transcript is spliced from 7 exons. The record is from RefSeq and is a predicted model, not a curated record.